Molecule: ribosomal RNA, 204 nt
Filed under: uncultured bacterium
Lineage: Bacteria
Description: partial 16S ribosomal RNA
Rfam family: Bacterial small subunit ribosomal RNA
Source: RNAcentral
CGUGUAGGCGGGAAGGUAAGUCGGGCGUGAAAUCCCUGAGCUCAACUCAGGAACUGCACUCGAAACUACUUUUCUUGAGUGCCGGAGAGGAAAGCGGAAUUCCUGGUGUAGAGGUGAAAUUCGUAGAUAUCAGGAGGAACACCAGUGGCGAAGGCGGCUUUCUGGACGGUAACUGACGCUGAGACGCGAAAGCGUGGGGAGAAC